GUCGAGCGAUGAAACUUUAACAGAACCCUUCGGGGCGAAGAUAAAGUGGAUUAGCGGCGGACGGGUGAGUAACACGUGAGUAACCUGCCUUAGACAUUGGGAUAGCCUCGGGAAACCGGGAUUAAUACCAAAUAAAAUCAUAAUGACACAUGUCAUAACGAUCAAAACUCCGGUGGUCUAAGAUGGACUCGCGUCCCAUUAGCUAGUUGGUAGAGUAAAAGCCUACCAAGGCGACGAUGGGUAGCCGGCCUGAGAGGGUGAACGGCCACAUUGGAACUGAGAAACGGUCCAAACUCCUACGGGAGGCAGCAGUGGGGAAUAUUGCACAAUGGAGGGAACUCUGAUGCAGCGACGCCGCGUGAACGAAGAAGGCUUUCGAGUCGUAAAGUUCUUUUAUAUGGGAAGAUAAUGACGGUACCAUAAGAAAAAGCCCCGGCUAACUACGUGCCAGCAGCCGCGGUAAUACGUAGGGGGCUAGCGUUGUCCGGAAUCACUGGGCGUAAAGGGUUCGCAGGCGGAAAUGCAAGUCAGAUGUAAAAGGCAGUAGCUUAACUACUGUAAGCAUUUGAAACUGCAUAUCUUGAGAAGAGUAGAGGUAAGUGGAAUUUUUAGUGUAGCGGUGAAAUGCGUAGAUAUUAAAAAGAAUACCGGUGGCGAAGGCGACUUACUGGGCUCAUUCUGACGCUGAGGAACGAAAGC
This 699-nucleotide ribosomal RNA is filed under the name uncultured Eubacteriales bacterium. RNAcentral's name for it is "bacterial SSU rRNA". It matches the Rfam family "Bacterial small subunit ribosomal RNA", at positions 61 to 760 of the family's 1533-position model. Lineage: Bacteria; Bacillati; Bacillota; Clostridia; Eubacteriales. The record is from RNAcentral.